RNAcentral lists this long non-coding RNA (1519 nucleotides) under Marmota monax (woodchuck). Lineage: Eukaryota; Metazoa; Chordata; Mammalia; Rodentia; Sciuridae. The record is from RNAcentral.
GCCGCCUCUCCCAGAGGAGCCUUUCUUAAUUAAGGAUCCAUGUGCACCGUGCCUUGCAGGUCACAAAAGGCCUUUGUGCCAUUUAAUCCACACAGUUCCCCCAGGAGAUGAGCAGGGAAUGUAUUAUCUCCACUCCACAGAUGGGGGGCAUUUUCUCUCAGAGUCACUUUGCAAAUAAGAGAUGGAUCCUAGAGAGGCCCAAGGAUCUGCAAGCAAGCAAAUGACCAUCACCACCAAAGGAAGGUGGAGUGAAAGCCCAAGGUGCCCCAGGGCUCAGAGACAGUGUCUCUCUCAAGCAUCUGGAAGAAGUUCACUUCUUACGGAGAGAAUUUAAGCAUUUUAGGGCAGCUUUGCGAGUUGGACUUUGCAUUUCCUUUCCUCUGGCAGAUUUUUCUUUUCUUUUUUUGGAAAACCGCAAAAGAAAGUUUAAUUUCAGGAACUGAAUCCAUCAUUUAUAAAUACACUAAAGCACAGUCCACUCGAAUUGAGAGCGAGCGAAGGUACAGUAUUCAACAGAAGGACAGCUUCCUGGGGGGCCAUGGCAGAGGAGCACAUGGCCUCACCCAUAGCACCCAAUGGUCUGAAGAGACGUAGAAUAGAACAUUUUUCAGAUGUUAAAGCAAACACUGACAACUGAAUCUGACAACUGAUAAUUUCACUCUGAUGUCCUGGGAUUCUAAAAUACCCCAGUGAUGGCUGAAUCUUCCCUAUUAUAAAAAAAGAAAAAUCUAAACGCCUAAGGCUAGCCUCACCACUGUAGCCUGCCAGACGCCCCUGUUGGUCACCACUGCCUCCAGGGCCCGGCCAUGUCCCAGCACCUGGGUCAGCGCACACAGAGCUCCACUGCUCAGGGACGCUCCUGUCAGAGGCACCCGACGCCGUCAACGGGCCCCCUGUUGCACUGCCACGCUCUGCACCGGCUGAAUCCUUAGCAUGGACACACACGGGACUCUGAUUUCAAGGAGUAGGACAGACAGUCAGGGACCUCUGAGUGAAUGAACAGACCGUGUAACCCUGAAUGCAAAGACCUGAAACGGAACGUGUCCGUGACCACGUCACUGCAACUGCACACUCCGUGAGUCACCCAAGUACAGUUUUGUUUUCAAACGCUUUGUCUCUGUGGUAAACAGUUAGCUUCCAGAAUAUUCUCUCCACUCCUCGACACAUUUUAGAGCCUGCAGUUAAAACUGCUCAGUCAGGAUGGCUUAAGCUCUUCCUCUUAUUUACAGGUUUCAUUUCACAGCCACAAAAGCUGUUUUGUUGCAAUUAAAGCAAUAUUUAACUAAAAUACAGUACCUGAUUCAUGGUUUUUACACAAUUGAAUAAAAAGCCUACAGGAUAAGACUGUUUACAUCUUGUCUCCAUUCUAGGAACACAUACUUCUGACCUCUAACUUUUAAAAAACGCUGCAGUCAUGAAUUAAAACCUGAUCACCCCACUUCACAACCAACGAGACAGGCUGCUUCCAGUGGACUCCCAACACGCUGUGCCCUGGCAGGAGUAAGGCACGUGUGACAUU